UCCGGUUUAUCACCGGCGGUUCCGUUAAAGUGCCCAGCAUAACCUGAUGGCAACUAACGGCGAGGGUUGCGCUCGUUGCGGGACUUAACCCAACAUCUCACGACACGAGCUGACGACAGCCAUGCAGCACCUGUAUAUGAUCCGGCCGAACCGACAGAAACGAUCUCUCGUCUCCUUAAUCACUAUGUCAAGAGCUGGUAAGGUUUUUCGCGUUGCUUCGAAUUAAACCACAUACUCCACCGCUUGUUCAGGUCCCCGUCAAUUCCUUUGAGUUUUAAUCUUGCGACCGUACUCCCCAGGCGGAAUGCUUAUAGCGUUAACUGCGACACCGAAAAUUGCUUCCCGACAUCUAGCAUUCAUCGUUUACGGCGUGGACUAC
This 379-nucleotide unclassified non-coding RNA is filed under the name uncultured Alphaproteobacteria bacterium. RNAcentral's name for it is "contains 16S-23S intergenic spacer region". The record is from RNAcentral. Lineage: Bacteria; Pseudomonadati; Pseudomonadota; Alphaproteobacteria.